This 318-nucleotide ribosomal RNA is filed under the name Hydrosalpinx sericea. Its description in RNAcentral is "eukaryotic LSU rRNA". It matches the Rfam family "Eukaryotic large subunit ribosomal RNA", at positions 62 to 346 of the family's 3401-position model. Lineage: Eukaryota; Metazoa; Arthropoda; Insecta; Trichoptera; Hydrosalpingidae. The record is from RNAcentral.
AUACUAMCAAGGAUUCCCCGAGUAGCGGCGAGCGAAACGGGAAGAGCCCAGCGCCGAAUCCUGCCGCCCGGGCGGGCGGCCGGGAGAUGUGGCGUUCGGUAGGAGAGCGAAACUUAAACGCGCGGUCAUUAGUCACGGCUGCCAGUCCAAGUUCAUCUUGAACGGGGCCGCUUACCCGCAGAGGGUGCCAGGCCCGUGGUGACGGUAGCCGGCCGCGACGGUCUCCCUACCCAGAGUCGGGUUGCUUGAGAGUGCAGCCCUAAGCGGGUGGUAAACUCCAUCUAAGGCUAAACACUACCACGGGACCGAUAGCGAACA